AAAUUCUCCAGCAACAAAUAUCUUUCAAUCAAUAUAAUUACAACAAAUUGAGAAGAGAAGCAAUUUUUCUGGAAAUUCUUCCCAAAUAUGAAAAGAGAAACUAAGGGAGAGGAGAGAGCAGGGCUUGGCUAUGGAAAUGCUCGCUUAAAGAGGACAAUUUCGAGAGCCAUUCCUCUUUGCAUGCUCAACAAAUUCUCCAUCCAAUUCAUCGACCAUUAUGUCACCCGCAUGAAGAUCAUUUCCCUUCUAAUUUCACUGCCAAUUUCAACAGUGAAGCCAUGUGGGUUUCUGCUUGAUAUGUACACUUCCCUGCUGUUUUGAAAUCAUGCUCUAAGUUUGUGGGGAUUGGAAGGGGAAGGCAGUUUCAUGGGGGGGUUGUUAAGAUUGGUCUUGUAAUUGAUAUCUAUGUG
Molecule: unclassified non-coding RNA, 410 nt
Filed under: Hevea brasiliensis (rubber tree)
Lineage: Eukaryota; Viridiplantae; Streptophyta; Magnoliopsida; Malpighiales; Euphorbiaceae
Source: RNAcentral